This is a small nuclear RNA of Pyrus x bretschneideri (Chinese white pear), 102 nucleotides long. NCBI's taxonomy places the organism in Eukaryota, Viridiplantae, Streptophyta, Magnoliopsida, Rosales, Rosaceae. The record is from RefSeq and is a predicted model, not a curated record.
AGAAAUUUGAUGUCCUGUCCGGUGAAAUUAGAACAAUUCAAAAGAUUAUCAUGGCCCCUGCACACGGAUGACACAUCGAAAAAGAAGAGAUGAUGGAUUAAU